CUAAGGAGUUGUUGUUGUGGUGGAAUGUUGGCGUCCUGCCGUGUGGUGGGGUUGGGGGCAUGCUGUUGGGGUUCUGGGGUAUCACGUUGUGUGGUGGCCUGGUGCGGUGAUGCUGUGUCUGCUGUUGUGGUGGGUGUGGUGUUGGUUCGUGUGGUGGUUGAGAACUGUAUAGUGGAUGCGAGCAUCUUAUUUUUUGUGUGGCUUGUGUUGUGCAAG
RNAcentral lists this unclassified non-coding RNA (216 nucleotides) under Cutibacterium acnes. RNAcentral describes it as "partial miscellaneous RNA". The record is from RNAcentral. Lineage: Bacteria; Bacillati; Actinomycetota; Actinomycetes; Propionibacteriales; Propionibacteriaceae.